ACGAACGCUGGCGGCGUGCUUCACCCAUGCCAGUCGAACGGAAAGGCCUGCUUUCCCUUGUGGAUUGCGGGUACUCGAGUGGCGAACGGGUGAGUAACACGUGAGUGAUCUGCCCCCAACUUGGGUAUAAGCCUGGGAAACUGGGUCUAAUUCCCGAUAGGACUGCAGGGUGGUGCCUGUGGUGGAAAACGAUUUUCUAGUGGUUGGGGAUGAGCUCGCGGCCUAUCAGCUUGUUGGUGGGGUAAUGGCCUACCAAGGCGGCGACGGGUAGCCGGCCUGAGAGGGUGGACGGCCACAUUGGGACUGAGAUACGGCCCAGACUCCUACGGGAGGCAGCAGUGGGGAAUAUUGCACAAUGGGCGGAAGCCUGAUGCAGCGACGCCGCGUGGGGGAUGACGGCCUUCGGGUGGUAAACUCCUUUCGACCGCGAGGAAGCCACCUGGUUGGAAGGGUGGUGACGGUAGUGGUAGAAGAAGCACCGGCUAACUACGUG
This 493-nucleotide ribosomal RNA is filed under the name uncultured bacterium. Its description in RNAcentral is "partial 16S ribosomal RNA". It matches the Rfam family "Bacterial small subunit ribosomal RNA", at positions 29 to 507 of the family's 1533-position model. The record is from RNAcentral.